Molecule: transfer RNA, 69 nt
Filed under: Leopardus colocola (Colocolo)
Lineage: Eukaryota; Metazoa; Chordata; Mammalia; Carnivora; Felidae
Description: tRNA-His
Rfam family: tRNA
About the family: Transfer RNA (tRNA) molecules are approximately 80 nucleotides in length. Their secondary structure includes four short double-helical elements and three loops (D, anti-codon, and T loops).
Source: RNAcentral
GUAAAUAUAGUUUAAUAAAAACAUUAGAUUGUGAGUCUAAAAAUAAAAGUGUAAAUCUUUUUAUUUACC